UUUAAAACCUUUCUAAAAAAAACAGAGAGAAUUCUCUCUCAAACACCCCCCACCCACGGUCAAGGUUUUCGGCCGUGACCCCGUCGCUAGCGGUGGCCGGAGCAGCAGAAAAAUGGGUUUUAAAACCCGCGUCGACGAUCGACUGAAGGCCGAGCCUUCGUAGCCCUAAGGCCGUGGGAAGAAACCCCAAACGCCACACCCUUCUGACCUGAUUUCGGUAACCCGAAGGAGUCCGACAAUGGCGCAUGCAUGGGCGAUUUUUGGGUAUGUUUCCUUCUUCCCCCCUUUUCUAUUCAUUUCUUUUUAUUUAACAGAUUCGUGAAAUAAAAUAAAAAUAAAAAUAAAAAUAAAACGAAAAUGAAAAGUAAAUAGAAAAAAAAAAUCAACCUUUGUUGUUCUUAUUUUUGAUAUUCUAAGAUGUGUCCGAAAAACUACAAGUGCUAGCUUGGGGGUUUUUAUAGCCCGAUUUACAAAUGCUUAAACUAUUUCGUUUGUCGUUUUGCAACUUUUUUUUUGUUUUCUGUUUGUUUCUAUUUUGUUUGUUGCUUCUGCUGCGUUGGUUGCGUGUGCCUCUCUGUUUGCAGGUCGUUGAUGCACGAGGAAAGCCAAC
RNAcentral lists this long non-coding RNA (610 nucleotides) under Gossypium barbadense (sea-island cotton). RNAcentral describes it as "long non-coding RNA (GBAR_LNC020589)". Lineage: Eukaryota; Viridiplantae; Streptophyta; Magnoliopsida; Malvales; Malvaceae. The record is from RNAcentral.